Pyrus x bretschneideri (Chinese white pear) is the source of this 2477-nucleotide RNA transcript. It is a transcript of the gene named sulfite exporter TauE/SafE family protein 3, with no coding region annotated. Lineage: Eukaryota; Viridiplantae; Streptophyta; Magnoliopsida; Rosales; Rosaceae. The record is from RefSeq and is a predicted model, not a curated record. The transcript has 13 exons.
AUAAUAAAAAGUAGUGACUACAUACGUACGUAUAAUGAAGUUCAUUUGUCGUUUAACUCCUCAUCACUCCAGUUUCUCUGUCACUUAUGAUAAUAAUUGUUUGUGUCGGUGAUAAUAUCAUAUAAAUACAUAUAUGUACAUAUGUAUGCAUGCAUCGAUUAUCACUUGGUAUCUUCUAGUUUUUCAGAUUUUUAAAUCGCUCGAUCGAUCCAAGAGGUUUUGUUUCAGCGAGUUUGAACUUCUUGGGGGUAGCUAUCUCUUUAUCCAUGGCAGCAGCAGAAGGUGGAUUAGAAUGGUGGGUUAUAUUCACUGUGACUGGUUUUCUUGUUGUAACUUCAGUAACUGCAGCUUCUUCAGCUCCACAAGAAACCUUGGAACAAGAGCAUCAGCAUGCUUCCAUUUACAUUAACGGGAGCCAAACGUUUCAGUCUCACAAAUUUCAGACCAGAAUGUUAAACUUUUUGUGGCAACUGGGUCGGUUAUUCAGUUAUGAGCAUGUUUGGCCUGAAAUGACCAUUGGGUGGAAAAUUGUGGUGGGUACAAUAAUUGGAUUUCUAGGGUCUGCUUUUGGAACUGUUGGUGGAGUUGGUGGGGGUGGCAUUUUUGUUCCCAUGCUCACUUUGAUUAUUGGAUUUGACCAGAAAUCAUCAACAGCUAUAUCAAAGUGUAUGAUCACAGGUGCUGCAAUUUCAUCUGUGUUCUACAAUCUAAGGCUAAGGCAUCCGACAGCUGACCUCCCCCUCAUCGACUACGACUUGGCACUUCUUUUCCAACCAAUGCUUGUGCUUGGGAUCAGUAUUGGAGUUGCUUUCAAUGUCAUAUUUGCUAACUGGAUGAUCACAGUGUUAUUAAUCAUUACUUUCUUAGCCACAUCAAGUAGGGCAUUCUUCAAGGGCAUUGAGACAUGGAAAAAAGAAACUAUAGUAAAAAAGGAGGCUGCUAGACGGAUGCAGUCAAAUGGUGAUGAUGCUACUGCAGAAGUUUAUUACAAGCCUCUACCCAGUGGCCCGAGCAAUGGCACUCCAACAGAAACCGGGGAAUCCAAAAGAACAGAGGUUUCUAUCUUUGAGAAUCUUUACUGGAAGGAACUUCUGAUUCUUUUUGCUGUCUGGAUUAUAAUUCUUGCAUUGCAGAUCGCUAAGAAUUAUACAACAACUUGUUCGGCAGCAUAUUGGGCAUAUAAUCUCUUGCAGAUCCCCGUGGCUUUCGGAGUAACUAUAUUCGAGGCAGUUAAACUGUACAAAGGAGAUAGAGUGAUUGCGUCCCGGGCAGAAUUAAACACAAAUUGGACAGUAAACCAGCUUGUUCUUUGUAGUGCCUGUGGUAUCAUAGCCGGUAUAGUUGGUGGAUUGCUUGGUCUUGGUGGAGGCUUCAUUUUAGGUCCUGUUUUUCUGGAGCUAGGAAUCCCACCUCAGGUCUCAAGUGCGACAGCCACAUUUGCCAUGACAUUUUCUGCCUCCCUGUCUGUUGUAGAGUACUACCUCCUAAAACGAUUCCCGAUUCCUUAUGCUCUCUACUUUACUGCUGUGGCCACAUUUUCAGCCCUAGUAGGGCAAUAUGUAGUGAGAAAGGUAGUCAGUUUUUUGGGGAGAGCAUCUAUAAUUAUCUUCAUUCUUGCCUUCACAAUCUUUGUGAGUGCAAUAUCACUAGGUGGAGUUGGAAUAGUAGAUAUGAUUGAAAAGAUUAAGCAUAAAGAGUACAUGGGAUUUGAAAACAUCUGCACUUAUGAUGCCUAGUUUUAGUAACUUCUUCUGCCUUCACUUCUCCCCCAUCUCAAGCAUCCUUUGCCAUACCCUAAUUAGGGUUUUGCUUCAAGAUUCUUUCAACUCGACAUGAUUAUUUGGGUUUUGCCGCUCUCAAAUGUUGCUCUUUUUUUCUGGGCUAAUGAGCUUAUGCGGUAUGUAGGUAGGAGGGAAGAGAAAUCAACUGUCCUCCCUACUCUUUCAAGUUUCAAGUGCACUCUUCCCUUGCAUGGAUGGAACCAAGGGAACUGAGGGAGAUAACCUGGGAAUCACUUGACCAGGGGCCAAUGGAAUCACACGACGUCGCUACGGGGAUAGAACCUAGAAAUCACUCGACCAGGGGCAAAGGAAUCACUCACGUUGCUAAUCGUCGAUUCACUCGACACGACUAAGUCUCACACUUGAUUUUAAGGAAGGAGAAAACUCACUCUCUUCUUAGAUUAACUUUUGAAUUCUCUAAUUGACUACUUUAAGGAUACAUAUGGAGCCCUUUAAAUAGGGAAAUUAUAAAGCAUUGGUAUACUAAACAUUUAAGAGUAGGAUAGUUACUAGGCAAUUCAAUUAAAAGAGAAGGUCACAAAGGUUUUGAGAGAUGAGAAGUCACUAAAGCCUUAAAUUAAUUUGUUCCCCAUGCACUACAUCAGUUAUAUGUUCAUACUAAUGAAUAUCAUUUGUUUAAAUAUUAUUAUCAUGUUAUAAUAAAGGGAAAUACCCCAAAAUGAGACAAUUUCUUAA